CGUAACGCCUGGUGAGCACACGCUUCCCUUUCCUCGAAAGCUUUUCCUUUUGAGCCUCUGAGGCCAGGUGGGUCCGGCUUUUGUGAGGGUCCGUUCUGGGUUCCUCGCCUGAUUUUCUGGAGAAGCUCUGUACUGCUGUCAAGCUGUGAAGCUUUGUGCAGAGUUUUGCUCAGAUAAGUCACUGUCUCCUCUCCGCUGAACAACAUUUUGGAUUGUAUCUUCAAAGUUCGCAUCUUGGAUGUGUUUUGGGUUCAAUUUGUGGGGAUUUUAGUACUGGGAAUCUGUGAGAGUUUAGCUGCAAUUGGUCGGGUUAAGCUUGAUCCCGGUGAUUUUCUGGGAUGCUUGUUAUAAUGGUUGGAUUGGUGCUUCUGUGAUGUGAAAGAUGCUCGCUUGAGGAUCUGAAAACUGUUGGAAGGAUCCCAAAAAGUGGGUGGAAUUUGCUUGAGCUGGGUCAAAAGAGAGAUGGGUUCGCUUCAUUUUGGCCCUCAGGGUAAAUGAAUUGUUUGGCAGGUGGCUAUGCUCUAUGCUCGCUUGAAAAGCUUAUAAAAUAGGGUUUUAAGUGAGAUAAGCUCGAGUGUCUUGAUUAAUUGUCUUUUGGGAAAAGCAAUGGAAGGGAAUAUGUCACAAGGAGGUAUGAUCCCAGGUAAUCCUGCAUAUGGAGGUCUAGAUUUGCCGAGAUCAAUUCAAAUCCACAGUCAAGCGCAACAAUCACACUGUCUUCAUCAGCAGCACCACUCUCAUCCUCGCCAAACGACGGGGGUCCACCCCUCAAUCCAUGAGGGUUUCCCACUUACAAUGGGAACGUUGCCUGGUUGCGAUCAGAUGAUCUCUGUGGGAGAUUUUAACAAAGGGGAGAGGUGCAAGAACUCAGCGAGCGAUGAUGAUGAUCCAAGCUUUACCGAAGAUGGUAUUGAUAGUCAUAAUGAUAUAAGCAAAGGGAAAAAAGGGUCACCAUGGCAACGGGUGAAAUGGACUGAUAAGAUGGUUAGACUUCUGAUUACUGCUGUCUCCUAUAUUGGUGAAGAUUCGGGUACAGAUAGUGGGGGCGGGGGACUAAGAAAGUUUUCUGUCUUACAGAAAAAGGGUAAAUGGAAGUCGAUUUCGAAGGUUUUGGCUGAGAGGGGUUUCCAUGUCUCACCUCAGCAGUGUGAGGAUAAGUUCAAUGACCUUAAUAAGAGGUACAAGAAACUCAAUGAUAUGCUUGGUCGGGGGACCUCUUGCCAGGUGGUCGAGAAUCCUGCACUUUUGGAUGUGAUAGAUUUCCUUAAAGAGAAAGAGAAGGAUGAUGUCAGAAAAAUUUUGAGUUCAAAGCAUUUGUUCUAUGAAGAGAUGUGCUCUUACCACAAUAGCAAUCGGCUACAUCUACCUCAUGACCCAGCCUUACAACGCUCUCUGCAGCAGGCUCUCAGAAGUAGAGAUGACCAUGAAAAUAAUGAUGUUAGAAGAAACAACCAUGAUGACUUUGAUGAGGAUGAUCAAGAUGUGGAUAAUGAUGAUCAUGACGAACAUGAGGAGAAUCACGCUUCUCAUGGCGAUGAAAGGGCAAUGUGUGGGGUUUCGAAGGCUUCUGCAAAGAGGAUGAAGCAAGUCCAAGGCCAUGAAGAUUUCAGUUUUGGGACUUCCUUGAAUGUUCAAGAGUUCAACAAAAGCUCCCAUUCCCAUUCUCACGUUGUGCAUCCUGAUAUGAAUCAAACUCUUUCAGAGAAUAGGACGGGUUGGUUACAGAAGCAGUUGAAUGAAUCUCGUUCACUUCAACUUGAAGAGCAGAAGUUACAAAUUCAAUACGAGAUGUUGGAGUUGGACAAACAGCGCUUCAAAUGGGAGAGAUUUUGCAGGAAAAGAGACCGAGAAUUAGAAAAGAUGAAGAUGGAAAAUGAAAAGAUGAAGCUUGAGAAUGAACGUAUGGCUUUAGAAUUGAGACGAAAGGAGAUGGGUGUUGACUUUAGUUAGACGGAUAGCCAGUUAGCAGAUGCUAGAGAUGGUGUCCUGGACCUUGGUGGGACGUUAUUGGAUUGCAAUCGACCUUAUGGCUUGUAUGCUGCUUGAUCAAAUCUAUCUGCUUCUCGAAGCAUCAAGUCGGGCUAUGGAGGACUUCUGUAAUCCAAUCAUAUCUAAAUUGCAAAAAAGAAGCAUUUAUGCUACAACUGGAAAUUAAUGGCGUUUUAUGUUGCCGGUGUUUCUGGAGAUUGAUGCGAGUUACGAUGUACAAAGAUGUGAAUACCCAGUUCUUCUCAAAAGUUCUAAGGCCAGACAACUGUUGCAAUACCGCUCUAGCUGUUAUUUCUCCUGAGAAUUCUCGCUUUUCUUU
RNA transcript from Rhodamnia argentea, 2308 nucleotides. RefSeq lists it as uncharacterized. The record is from RefSeq and is a predicted model, not a curated record. NCBI's taxonomy places the organism in Eukaryota, Viridiplantae, Streptophyta, Magnoliopsida, Myrtales, Myrtaceae. The transcript has 3 exons.